GUGGGGAAUAUUGGACAAUGGGCGAAAGCCUGAUCCAGCCAUGCCGCGUGUGUGAAGAAGGUCUUCGGAUUGUAAAGCACUUUAAGUUGGGAGGAAGGGCAGUAAGUUAAUACCUUGCUGUUUUGACGUUACCGACAGAAUAAGCACCGGCUAACUUCGUGCCAGCAGCCGCGGUAAUACGAAGGGUGCAAGCGUUAAUCGGAAUUACUGGGCGUCAAGCGCGCGUAGGUGGUUUUGUAAGUUGGAGGUGAAAUCCCCGGGCUCAACCUGGGAACUGCCUCCAAAACUGGAUGACUAGAGUAUGGUAGAGGGUAGUGGAAUUUCCUGUGUAGCGGUGAAAUGCGUAGAUAUAGGAAGGAACACCAGUGGCGAAGGCGACUACCUGGACUGAUACUGACACUGAGGUGCGAAAGCGUGGGGAGCAAACAGGAUUAGAUACCCGAGUAGUCC
RNAcentral lists this ribosomal RNA (450 nucleotides) under uncultured bacterium. RNAcentral's name for it is "partial 16S ribosomal RNA". It matches the Rfam family "Bacterial small subunit ribosomal RNA", at positions 354 to 796 of the family's 1533-position model. The record is from RNAcentral.